This 171-nucleotide ribosomal RNA is filed under the name Paenibacillus lactis. Its description in RNAcentral is "partial 16S ribosomal RNA". It matches the Rfam family "Bacterial small subunit ribosomal RNA", at positions 1 to 164 of the family's 1533-position model. Lineage: Bacteria; Bacillati; Bacillota; Bacilli; Caryophanales; Paenibacillaceae. The record is from RNAcentral.
UUAUUGGAGAGUUUGAUCCUGGCUCAGGACGAACGCUGGCGGCGUGCCUAAUACAUGCAAGUCGAGCGGACUUGAAGAGGAGCUUGCUUCUCUGAGAGUUAGCGGCGGACGGGUGAGUAACACGUAGGCAACCUGCCCUCAAGACUGGGAUAACUACCGGAAACGGUAGCU